Hyaena hyaena (striped hyena) is the source of this 405-nucleotide long non-coding RNA. RefSeq lists it as uncharacterized. NCBI's taxonomy places the organism in Eukaryota, Metazoa, Chordata, Mammalia, Carnivora, Hyaenidae. The transcript is spliced from 3 exons. The record is from RefSeq and is a predicted model, not a curated record.
UGAGCUCUAUGAAGUGGAUGUGUUUUCAGGAUAUGUGCAGCGGAUGACUUCAUGAUCACUCUUCACGGAGCCUGGUGUAGGACAAGGAUUUCUUCGGUUUGAACCCACAUGGAGUCAUUCCAGUGACUUAAAGAAGGGAGACUAUCUACACCAACCCCAUGGCCCUGAUUGUUUUAAGGCCCUGAUUUAUCUGGGACAAAUCAACAUCAAAAAGUCACUGGUUUGCUUUGGAGGCAAUCUUGAGACCGGUUGGUAGUCGUUGAGGCUCCGGUUCCCUCAGCCACCAACACAUACAACAGAAACCUAAAAACAGUGUUUGCGUAGAGAGGAACUUAUGUGUUCGUUCUGGGAUAAAUCUGAGACAGCAGUUACAAUCCUCUAUUCCCCAUGUUUCUUGUAGAAAAA